This 1551-nucleotide ribosomal RNA is filed under the name metagenome. RNAcentral's name for it is "bacterial SSU rRNA". It matches the Rfam family "Bacterial small subunit ribosomal RNA". The record is from RNAcentral.
AGAGUUUGAUCCUGGCUCAGAGUGAACGCUGGCGGCGUGGAUUAGGCAUGCAAGUCGAGCGAUCUUUUUAUGUAGACUAUUGAUUUCCGGUUCGCCGGAAUGAUAUAGAAUUUAUUUCAGGAUAGCGGCAAACAGGUGAGGAACACGUGAGGAAUUUGCCCCAAAGACAGACAUAGCUUCGUGAAAACGUAGGUAAUAUCUGAUAUGGCCAUGAACCGGCAUCGGUUAAUGGUUAAAGGUAGGGAUCGUAAGACCUGCCACUUUGGGAUGACCUCGCGUCCUAUCAGCUUGUUGGUGAGGUAAUGGCUCACCAAGGCGUAUGACGGGUAGCUGGUCUGAGAGGAUGGUCAGCCACACUGGGACUGAGACACUGCCCAGACUCCUACGGGAGGCUGCAGUCGAGAAUCUUUAGCAAUGGACGAAAGUCUGACUAAGCGACGCCGCGUGAGGGAUGAAGGUUUUCGGAUCGUAAACCUCUUUUGUCAGGAAAGAAAUAUCGCUGUCUAAUAUAUGGCGAUUUUGACGGUACCUGACGAAUAAGCCACGGCCAACUCCGUGCAGCAGCCGCGGUAAUACGGAGGUGGCGAGCGUUACUCGGAAUUAUUGGGUGUAAAGGGCAAGUAGGCGGUUUGUUAAGUGAGGGGUGAAAUCUUCCGACUUAAUCGGAAAAUUGCCCUUCAAACUGGCAGACUUGAGGCCGGAAGAGGGAAAUGGAAUUAGCGGUGUAAGGGUGAAAUCUGUAGAUAUCGCUAAGAACACCAGCGGCGAAGGCGAUUUCCUGGUCCGGUUCUGACGCUGAAUUGCGAAAGCUAGGGGAGCAAACAGAAUUAGAUACUCUGGUAGUCCUAGCCGUAAACGAUGAGCACUAGGUGUUGGUCUUUUGAUCAGUGCCGCAGCUAACGCAUUAAGUGCUCCACCUGGGGACUACGGCCGCAAGGCUAAAACUCAAAGGAAUUGACGGGGACCCGCACAAGCGGUGGAACAUGUGGUUUAAUUCGAUGCUACGCGAAGAACCUCACCAGGGUUUGACAUGCAGGGAGUAGUGAACUGAAAGGGGAACUACCCGUAAAGUCGGGAGCCUGCACAGGUGCUGCAUGGCUGUCGUCAGCUCGUGUCGUGAGAUGUUGGGUUAAGUCCCGCAACGAGCGCAACCAUUGCCCCAUGUUGCCCACCCCGUAUAACCACUUGUGGUUUGCGGGGCGCACUCUUGGGGGACUGCCUGGGAUAACCAGGAGGAAGGCGGAGAUGACGUCAAGUCAGUACGGCCUUUAUACCCUGGGCUACACACGUGUUACAAUGGCUGGUACAAAGGGUUGCCAACCCGUGAGGGGGAGCUAAUCUCAAAAACCCAGCCCCAGUUCGGAUUGGAGUCUGCAAUUCGACUCCAUGAAGCCGGAAUCGCUAGUAAUGGGAGAUCAGCUCGCUCCCGUGAAUACGUUCCCGGGUCUUGUACACACCGCCCGUCAAGCGAUGAAAGCUGGAAGUACCCGAAGUCCUAUGUAGGUAGGCCGAAGGUAAAGCCGGUGAUUGGCGCUAAGUCGGAACAAGGUA